Notothenia coriiceps (black rockcod) is the source of this 729-nucleotide long non-coding RNA. RefSeq lists it as uncharacterized. The transcript has 5 exons. The record is from RefSeq and is a predicted model, not a curated record. Lineage: Eukaryota; Metazoa; Chordata; Actinopteri; Perciformes; Nototheniidae.
CGCUGGAAUCCCGUGUUCAGCCCCUGGACAGUUCCUGAUCGAGAACCUCUUCUUAUUAUUAUCGGGCACAUGGAGUCCUUGGUGUGAGUGUGGGGGGAAGCCCUGCCAGAACAUCAUGCCUCCCUCCCGAGAAGGGGUUAUCUUGCUGAUCCAGUGACAGCCUCGUCGUCUCCGCUGAAGGAUGCAGCUUUCAGUCCGGAGGAGGUGUUUUCGUGCUGCGCUGUCUUCUGAGAGGCGAUACGGGUGCUGCUCGGCCAACGCAGAUUUGAGGGGAAUCGCAGCCUACACACAGCAAGAUCCGAGCAUCCUUCACACUGAUCAUCAUCAUAACCAUCAUCGGCGAGAAGGGAGAUAUUACCAUCAUCACCGCGAGGGCAAAGGAGUCACGACCACUUACACAAUGUAGAAAACAUAAGAGGUUUGGAAGGAGCCAAGGAGUGGUGAAAUCACAUUUCACACUUUGGGUCAUUUAGUGUGGACGUCUAUCUUCAACAUAGGACCUCAACAUGAGCAACCCCCAGGCUCCUCCAAAGUCCAGGGUCUCGGAGCUGGAGGUGAUCUCCCAGCAGGUGGAGGAGGACAACCAGGCCCCUGUCCAGCUGGUCAGCUUCGCCUACAGAGACCUACCUUUGGCCGGCCUGGACAUUUCCCUUGCUGGAUCCCAGCUCAUCUCGAACCCGGACGAGGAGGACAACAGGGAUGGGUACUACUGGCUGAUGUCCUGCUGCG